GGCCUAACACAUGCAAGUCGAACGAUGAUGCCAGCUUGCUGGUGGAUUAGUGGCGAACGGGUGAGUAACACGUGAGUAACCUGCCCUUAACUCUGGGAUAAGCCUGGGAAACUGGGUCUAAUACCGGAUAUGACUCCUCAUCGCAUGGUGGGGGGUGGAAAGCUUUAUUGUGGUUUUGGAUGGACUCGCGGCCUAUCAGCUUGUUGGUGAGGUAAUGGCUCACCAAGGCGACGACGGGUAGCCGGCCUGAGAGGGUGACCGGCCACACUGGGACUGAGACACGGCCCAGACUCCUACGGGAGGCAGCAGUGGGGAAUAUUGCACAAUGGGCGCAAGCCUGAUGCAGCGACGCCGCGUGAGGGAUGACGGCCUUCGGGUUGUAAACCUCUUUCAGUAGGGAAGAAGCGAAAGUGACGGUACCUGCAGAAGAAGCGCCGGCUAACUACGUGCCAGCAGCCGCGGUAAUACGUAGGGCGCAAGCGUUAUCCGGAAUUAUUGGGCGUAAAGAGCUCGUAGGCGGUUUGUCGCGUCUGCCGUGAAAGUCCCGGGGCUCAACUCCGGAUCUGCGGUGGGUACGGGCAGACUAGAGUGAUGUAGGGGAGACUGGAAUUCCUGGUGUAGCGGUGAAAUGCGCAGAUAUCAGGAGGAACACCGAUGGCGAAGGCAGGUCUCUGGGCAUUAACUGACGCUGAGGAGCGAAAGCAUGGGGAGCGAACAGGAUUAGAUACCCUGGUAGUCCAUGCCGUAAACGUUGGGCACUAGGUGUGGGGGACAUUCCACGUUUUCCGCGCCGUAGCUAACGCAUUAAGUGCCCCGCCUGGGGAGUACGGCCGCAAGGCUAAAACUCAAAGGAAUUGACGGGGGCCCGCACAAGCGGCGGAGCAUGCGGAUUAAUUCGAUGCAACGCGAAGAACCUUACCAAGGCUUGACAUGGACCGGACCGGGCUGGAAACAGUCCUUCCCCUUUGGGGCCGGUUCACAGGUGGUGCAUGGUUGUCGUCAGCUCGUGUCGUGAGAUGUUGGGUUAAGUCCCGCAACGAGCGCAACCCUCGUUCCAUGUUGCCAGCGCGUAAUGGCGGGGACUCAUGGGAGACUGCCGGGGUCAACUCGGAGGAAGGUGGGGACGACGUCAAAUCAUCAUGCCCCUUAUGUCUUGGGCUUCACGCAUGCUACAAUGGCCGGUACAAAGGGUUGCGAUACUGUGAGGUGGAGCUAAUCCCAAAAAGCCGGUCUCAGUUCGGAUUGGGGUCUGCAACUCGACCCCAUGAAGUCGGAGUCGCUAGUAAUCGCAGAUCAGCAACGCUGCGGUGAAUACGUUCCCGGGC
RNAcentral lists this ribosomal RNA (1325 nucleotides) under uncultured bacterium. RNAcentral's name for it is "bacterial SSU rRNA". It matches the Rfam family "Bacterial small subunit ribosomal RNA", at positions 45 to 1379 of the family's 1533-position model. The record is from RNAcentral.